RNAcentral lists this unclassified non-coding RNA (2752 nucleotides) under Leishmania donovani. Its description in RNAcentral is "gene:LdHU3.32.2910(CDS-product:hypothetical_prote in_conserved)". The record is from RNAcentral. Lineage: Eukaryota; Euglenozoa; Kinetoplastea; Trypanosomatida; Trypanosomatidae.
GUGCAAGAAUCAAAGGAUUCACUGAGAGCAUAAACGCACGAGUAGUGUUCUCCCCCUUUUCCGCUGCACCAGUGGAGCUUAACGACGGCGCAUCGUGACGCACGGCCACUCGUGCACACGCAGCAGGGUCACCGCCUUUGCAAACGCCGUCACUUACUUCUUUCUGCAUUUUUUUUUGCCCGCUUCACGUGUACAACCCCCUUUAUUUGUCCUUGUAGAUCGAAUCUGAAUAGACAACGCAUCACCCCCUUCAGAAGGAAGGCUUCUUUUUUCAGUCUCCACCGUUGGCCUCGUCCGCUCCGAGUGCAGUAGCAGCAGCAGCAGCAGCACACACCUUUCACCUCUCCCUCUGUGCACCCGUUCUGCCAGACGAUUCUCCACGACCAACGAACGCAGCAGCGCCGCCGGGCGCAGCACAGACGAUGGGCUGCGUGAACUGCAAAAGGGCAAAAAGGCGGAAGGAUCGCCCCACGCUUGUGGAAGCGGCGGCGCGUGAGACGGAAAGGGAGCGCUGGGCUGCAGCUGAGCAGGGGCUUGCGGCACAGGACCUCUACACAUCCGUCCAUGCUGCGAAUUCGCUCCCUUUAACUGAGCGUGAGGAUGCCAUGCCGCUGCCGACGGCACCGAGCCCUUUAGAGAAUGUGCAACAGAUUUCAGCUGCUGCUGCUGCUUCUCCCGGAGAAAUGGAGAAUAGUCUAGGAUGGAACUCAAAGAAGAAGGGCAACAUCCAAGCCACUGCCAAGGCGGAUAACGACAACACUACGGCGGCGUUAGCCAGAGCAUCCAGGACAACGGCUCCGUUAGAGUCCUCCAGGGAAACGCCCAAAGGACGCAGGGGCAAGUAUCAGUACCGCCGUCACCCCGAGGUCAGCUCGCGGAGUGACGGAUCGCUACCUCUUCCAGCAGAUGCCGUGGAAUCUGCGAAGAGCCGAGACAGCAGCAGCAGGAGCACUAGGGGCAGCAGUAGCAGCAGCAGCAGUGCACAAGCGCACAAGAGCAAGAAAGGCGGAGAGGAAACGAAGAAGCACGGCAGCUCCGGAAGCAUAAGCGCCGCAGAGGUUUGUCCGCAGGAGAGCAGCGGUGACUCCGUCGCGCAAGGGCACCUUCACAGCGCAUCUCACUCACAAACGGCAGCAGUGGGGUUGCCUAUUGACGGCCUGACAGCAGCUGGCACAACAAGCUCCACCAACUCGCACCAGACGAGGCAACCGAAGAUGUACCACCGCAGCAGCAACGUAUCAUCGGAUUUACGCAGUAAUGCAACGCCUCCGGGGAUGGAGACAAAGGUGUACCCGAGCGCGGACGCCCUGGAUGACGGCGCCAGCGAUGGGGGCAGCACCAGCCAUGAUGUCCCAGCCGCGAUACCAGCGCCGAAUACCAGCGUGGAAAGUGGAGGUGCAGCGGCUGAGGCCUCCUUCGUGUCUAACCGAGCGCCUUUUGAGCCGUACAGCGACUUGGAGCCACGUGAUGCGACCGACUAUUUACCCCCAUAUGAGUGGGCGCCACGGACGCUCCCUGUGCCGUCUCCCCUGCGGGCCUGCGGCCCAGUCGACAUGGCGCAGUGGGAGGACGGGGAGAGUCAGUUUUGUGGGCUAGCCGCCGCGGGUACGACCGCUCGUUUUCAGGACCCUAUGGUAAGCGUCUCUGUUGAGGGUGCCAGGACGUCUGACUCUGGAGCGGCCGAGGGCAAUGACGGCGCUUCUCACCCCCUCUCUCUGCACACAUUUUACCCUCGCCUGCCGCCAGCGCAGUGGGCCUCGUCUAGGAGCGAAGACUGCGCCAACAGACCUGAAGCAUCCGCAGGGGCAUUCGACUACCCGCAUUUACCGGUGAACGCAUUCAUUCAGAAAGCGCAUUCCAAUGAGCAGCAGCCGACGUACCAGGCAAUUUACGAAGGUGAUGAGAGUGUCCACUACUCUCCUGCCGAGUACCCCUCGAACGAAGCGACGCCACGACGGACAGUGCCGCCGUCUCUUGUUGAUGUACAUGUCUCCGAGGCGGUCGGCUACGCAUCGCCGCCGCCCGUGAACACUGCGUACUCCUUUUACCCUUCUCGUGCCCUUUUGCCGAUGCAUCACAGGCACGCGGUGCCUGACGGUGGCUCCAGCAAGCCUAUGGCUUACUCGCAUGCCCCUCCCGCGAUAACCACAUCUGCCCCGCAAAUCUAUCAAGACGGCAACCGCAGCCGCAGCGGUAACAUCAGCGUUGUUGGCAUCGGCGGAGGCGUGCAUCCGCAUAAACCUGUCUCGUACCUCUUCGAUAGUUCCAUGGAUGACUGGCUGCAAUCGUGGCAUGCACAGCCGCCGCAGCGCCAGCUGUACAGUAAGUCGGUCGGCAUGUGGUGAAAGCAACGGACCAGUGAGCAAAAGUGGGAGGGGUGGUGGGGGGCGAAUACCCGAAAAGGCAUACGCGGCGGGAGGCGGUGGACCAACGAAGACGGGGUGUGAGGGCAAGCUUUGCUAAGCGAGCGAGGAAGGAAUACAGACGUCGUGAUCUGUGUGAGCGAGUGAUCAUGUUUGCUAUUCCUCCUGUUUCGAUUCUCCUCGGCGCUACUCGUUAUCCCGCCCAUGCCUGCCUCCUUUUUGCCAUAUUAUUUUUGUUUUGGUCUGGAGCAUACCCUCCUUCGCUUCCUCUGCUUCUCGCUCAGCUGCAAAGGGCGUCUCGUUUAUGAGUACUGUUUCUCUCCUUCACUCCACACCCCUCCUGCACUUACGGCGACACCCUGGCAUCACCACCACCUCAACUGCCCCAG